AUGGAUGACAACCACUGCCCAAUUCUUAGCUGGAAUGUGCGAGGAUUGAACAUGCCAGCUAAACGUGAUGCUGUGUGCGAAACUGCGACAACACAUCGAUCGGCAAUCCUAUGCCUCCAAGAAACCAAGAUUGAUGUUUGGUCGCCGGCCCUAGUCAAGGAUGUAGGAGGAGCGAGGCUGGCUGACUGCAUAGUCCUCCCGGCGAUAGGCACCAGGGGAGGGAUCGCAGUUCUUUGGGAUAACCAGAUCGUCUCGAUCAUUUCCCACGCUGUAGGAGAGUUUGCAAUCACUGCAAAAGUUACCGUCCUG
RNAcentral lists this ribosomal RNA (309 nucleotides) under Triticum aestivum (bread wheat). RNAcentral describes it as "partial small subunit ribosomal RNA". The record is from RNAcentral. Lineage: Eukaryota; Viridiplantae; Streptophyta; Magnoliopsida; Poales; Poaceae.